AGAGUUUGAUCCUGGCUCAGGAUGAACGCUAGCGGCAGGCUUAACACAUGCAAGUCGAGGGGUAACAGGGAGCUUGCUCUGCUGACGGCCGGCGCACGGGUGCGUAACGCGUAUGCAACCUACCUUCUACAGGGGGAUAGUCAAUAGAAAUGUUGAAUAAUACCCCAUACGAUCUUUGAAUAGCAUUAUUUAAAGAAGAAAGCUCCGGCGGUAGAAGAUGGGCAUGCGUCCUAUUAGUUAGUUGGUAAGGUAACGGCUUACCAAGACUUCGAUAGGUAGGGGUCCUGAGAGGGAGACCCCCCACACUGGUACUGAGACACGGACCAGACUCCUACGGGAGGCAGCAGUGAGGAAUAUUGGACAAUGGAGGCAACUCUGAUCCAGCCAUGCCGCGUGCAGGAAGACUGCCCUAUGGGUUGUAAACUGCUUUUAUACAGGAAGAAACCUACUUACGUGUAAGUAGCUGACGGUACUGUAAGAAUAAGGAUCGGCUAACUCCGUGCCAGCAGCCGCGGUAAUACGGAGGAUCCAAGCGUUAUCCGGAAUCAUUGGGUUUAAAGGGUCCGUAGGCGGUCUUUUAAGUCAGAGGUGAAAUCCUACAGCUCAACUGUAGAAUUGCCUUUGAUACUGAAAGACUUGAGUUAUUGUGAAGUAGUUAGAAUGUGUGGUGUAGCGGUGAAAUGCAUAGAGAUCACACAGAAUACCGAUUGCGAAGGCAGAUUACUAACAAUAUACUGACGCUGAGGGACGAAAGCGUGGGUAGCGAACAGGAUUAGAUACCCUGGUAGUCCACGCCGUAAACGAUGGAUACUAGCUGUUCGACCAACAUUGGUUGGUUGAGUGGCUAAGCGAAAGUGAUAAGUAUCCCACCUGGGGAGUACGGUCGCAAGACUGAAACUCAAAGGAAUUGACGGGGGCCCGCACAAGCGGUGGAGCAUGUGGUUUAAUUCGAUGAUACGCGAGGAACCUUACCAGGGCUUAAAUGUAAGUUGCAUGAUUUAGAGAUAGAUCUUUCUUCGGACUACUUACAAGGUGCUGCAUGGUUGUCGUCAGCUCGUGCCGUGAGGUGUCAGGUUAAGUCCUAUAACGAGCGCAACCCCUAUCGUUAGUUGCCAGCAAGUUGUGUUGGGUACUCUAGCGAGACUGCCGGUGCAAACCGAGAGGAAGGUGGGGAUGACGUCAAAUCAUCACGGCCCUUACGUCCUGGGCUACACACGUGCUACAAUGGUCGGUACAGAGAGCAGCCACUACGCGAGUAGGAGCGAAUCUAUAAAACCGAUCUCAGUUCGGAUCGCAGUCUGCAACUCGACUGCGUGAAGCUGGAAUCGCUAGUAAUCGGAUAUCAGCCAUGAUCCGGUGAAUACGUUCCCGGGCCUUGUACACACCGCCCGUCAAGCCAUGGAAGCUGGGAGUACCUGAAGUCGGUUACCGCAAGGAGCUGCCUAGGGUAAAACUGGUAACUGGGGCUAAGUCGUAACAAGGUAGCCGUACCGGAAGGUGCGGCUG
Molecule: ribosomal RNA, 1506 nt
Filed under: marine metagenome
Description: bacterial SSU rRNA
Rfam family: Bacterial small subunit ribosomal RNA
Source: RNAcentral